RNAcentral lists this long non-coding RNA (3933 nucleotides) under Brassica napus (rape). RNAcentral's name for it is "long non-coding RNA (BNAP_LNC017743)". Lineage: Eukaryota; Viridiplantae; Streptophyta; Magnoliopsida; Brassicales; Brassicaceae. The record is from RNAcentral.
AGGAAUCUCUUGAAACAUCAGGAAGGUAGUUUUAGUAGGUCUAUUGAGAAUUAUGGCUCUGAAGAAGAGAUACGUAGCGAUCCUGGUUAUGUAGCUUACUAUUUGUCCAACAUCAACCUGAAUCCGAGGCUCCCUCCUCCGUUGAUCUCACGUGAGAAUCAGCACUUGCUGCGUCAUUUGGGUGGUGAUGGUAAUAACCUGAGUCCAACAGCGUCUUGGGAUGAUAUGGGGGUAAGAUCUUCCUUGCUUGCUUCUAGAACUGCGCUUUCUACACAUAGAGAGGAGCCUGAGGACGAGGCUUCUUCUGGUGAACAGCUGACUUUUGCUUCUUUGCCUGGUCGUCGUAAGAGCUUUGCUGAUAUCAUUCAGGUACUGCUUGAUUCUAUCACUUAAUUUAAUUUUACAUUAAAGAAGAUUCUCUCUUUUAACGCUUUCUUUUGUGUUCAAGCGGCCUCAUUCGGCAGGGAACCAUCCAACAGCAGAAGACAUACAUGCCAUUUCUUCUGGUAUAGCUUCAGAAAGGACAAGAAGAGUACCAGAGUCUGAUAUAAGUGUGGUGAAUCUUCUGAGGGAGACAGAUUCUCUCUCCAUGGAGGCUAUUGCUAGUGAAGAUCCUUUUACCUCUGAGUUGAGCUCACAAAGUUCAACCAACACUCAGAAUGAGAGAUCAAAUGCGAGGGUAGGGAGCCGCGAGGACAACAAUCUAUCUGCUUUUGGUGCUUCUGGUCCAUCCUCUGCUGCUUCUAGAAUGAGGGGGAACCAAGAAGAGCCAAGGAGAAUGCCUGUGCAAUAUACGCCUUCAUCGUAUCAGGUUCAAGCUACUUCGCCACAACAAAUGACCUAUCCGAGGAUGGGUGGUGGUACACACGACAUGAUGCAGAACCUGCCUAGGAUUGCAACUGGAGAGGUACAUUCGAGUUUCCAAUCUCCUCACGGUUUGACAUCGCCUCCUAUGUAUACAUCAACAGCUGCAUAUAUGACAUCUCUGAGCCCGUUUUACAAUCAUAACUUUCAGUCCUCGGGUAUGUACCUCCCUCAGUAUGGUUAUAGCGGUUACCCUCCUGCCUCUGGUGUUGUCCCUCAGUAUAUGAGUGGAUACCCAUCUCAUGAAGCCACUGUUCCUAUGCCAUAUGAUAUCUCAUCGCCUUCUUCGGGCUACAACAACUCCUUCUCUCGUGAAUCCUUUUCACCUACUGCACAGAACACUCCUCUUCAAUCUGUUUGGUGAGAUUGGGCACCAACUUGAUCACCUCAUCAGCCUCUUCCACACGCUUACGCAGGCGUUCGAUCUCCUCCUGGACGCCUAUUACCCAAGGCUGACGAUAAUGAAAUCCAUCAGCCUUGGGGACAACAAAAAAAAACAUCAGACAACAUAAAAAAAAAAUUCUAUACUAAUAUAUGCGUCUGUUGAGGUAUCUCUUACCUCGUAGUUUAUGCAGCUGAAGAAGCGCUUCCCAGGAUGAGUGUCGUGCUCCUCCUUCACCCGAACCUCGUCAAUGAUUCUCCCACCACAGGGACAUCUUCUAGGAAUCCCAUAUUCAGAAUCUGCGACGUAUCCCAACAUGUUGCAGUACUCCUGAUGCCUCUUUGUAUCUCUUCUCUCCUCUGCGGGAUCCAUCUGAACCAGACAAGCAAACGGCUUACAACAAAAUCACAAAAUUAUAUCAUGAACGGAACCCAUAAUGGAACCCACUAUUCGAUAACAAAACGCUUCGAUCUAACCCAAAAUGAAACCCAGAUGACGAUUCGGAACCCUAGAAUCGAAACCCCCAAAACUCGAGUUUGAACCCUACCUCCAAUACCCCACUAAUCGACAACUAAACGGUUCGAUCUUACCCAAAAUGUAACCCAGAUGACGAUUUGGAACCCUAGAAUCGAAACCCCCAAAAUCGAGUUUGAACCCUAAUUUGAGAACCCCACUAAUCGACAUCAAAACGCUUCGAUCUAACGGGUAUUCACUCGACACACACCUAUUCUCGUCGAGGAGACACUCCGUCGUCGAUUCGAUGGAGAAAAGUGGAGAAACGUGAAGAAAAAUCAAAAUCGCUCGAGAGUUCGCCUCUCGGGAGAAAACCCUAGUCUUUUCUGGAAAAUGAGAAAAUGAAUUUCUCUCUGUUUUCGUCGUCGUGACGUCAACAACGCGGCGCCAAUGGAACCGUGACACCUGGCGUGAACCCGCCUCAUACCGAAUCACUUGUAAGAAGCGGGUCGCGGAAAUAAACCCAUUAAAACAUUUCUUUUUCCUAUUCGGGCCUAUGAACCCGAGCCCAUGAACCCCAUUACAACCUUCAAUGUGGAUGCUCUAAAAACUAUAAAUGAGAACAUUAUAAAUCUGAAUACUUCUUCUGUUUUUAAAGAUUAUUACUCGUAUAAUUCUUGUAAAAAUUCUAAUUAGUGGCUAAAAAGAAAAGAAGAAAAAUAAACAAAAGUGUGUAUUGUGUGUAUUUUGGUGGUAGCGAGCAAACAGGCAACAGAGACAGAGCCACGUGAACGUAUCUCUUUCAAUUACAAGUCUCAACACGUGUCGAACCUAGUCAUCACUUUUAGAACAAAUUGACGAAAAAGGGCUUGCGGUACCACCAUUAUCAAAACCAUACAGGGGGUGUUCCAGUCAUUACCUAGUUAAGAGGACGUCUUCGUGUGCGAAUCCGUCGUGAUUCUUAAUUAAGUUUUGGUUAAUGUUUUGUUAAAAUACGUAAAAAUUAAAGAUUAACAUCCCAAUAAUUGCCUUUAGAAAUUAAAGAAAAAAAACAUUAACUCUUGACUUGGUGACUCGACGAAAGCCUUGGAGACAAACUUUUCAAAGGGGUUAGUUUUAAUCUCUCUGGGUCUCAUCUCAUCGCUGCAACAAUUUCAUAUCAAGAAAAAAAAACACUUUCAUGGAGGCUUAAACAUCACCACCAUCAGGUAACUCUUUAACUCUUAGCUUCAGCCUAAGUUUUUGUGUUCUUUCACAAGUUAUGCAAGGAGCUAGUUUUAAAUGAAUAAAGAAGGAUAAAGUGAAGUUUCUGUUUAUUAGAAUUUUGAUCCUCGGUUAUAUAUGGGACUUUUACUCUUUGUAACGAGGUUGAUGAACGAGUCCAGUACUUUUAAAAAGAUGAUCCUUGUAAGUUCUUGCUGAUGGUUGUUUGGGUUGACUAAACUUUUUUAGCUUGUGAAAUGGUAGAAUCGUGUCUGAAAUUUUUCGAUCCUUGAUUGUCGAUUACACAUAGACUCAAAAAUAAACGUUGAUCAUUGAAAGUUUGGGAUCAAGUUCUCAGCUUUUUGAUUCUCUUAUGGACUAAGGUUUUAGCUUUACCCUUUUUGGGUUAGGUAGUAUUAUUAUUAUGUAAUCAAUCACCUUGUCUGAAAAUUUUGAAUUUGUUUUGGUUGAUGUAUAGAAAGUAUGACGACGCAGAGCGCUAUGAGGAUGGUGGAAGGUGAUCAUGUAAAAAGUUGGCAGGCUUCCUCUAGGGAUACUAGUGGGAUAUUUGGUUCACAUGAUAUGGCUGUUGAAGAUUUAAGGUUCCUUAUGGAAAGAAAUAGAUUGGAUAGUAGUGGAAGUGAUCAUACAGGUAAGAUCCCUAGUAGGAGUGGAAGCGCGCCGCCUAGCAUGGAAGGUUCAUUUGCAGCUCUUAGGAAUCUCUUGAAACAUCAGGAAGGUAGUUUUAGUAGGUCUAUUGAGAAUUAUGGCUCUGAAGAAGAGAUACGUAGCGAUCCUGGUUAUGUAGCUUACUAUUUGUCCAACAUCAACCUGAAUCCGAGGCUCCCUCCUCCGUUGAUCUCACGUGAGAAUCAGCACUUGCUGCGUCAUUUGGGUGGUGAUGGUAAUAACCUGAGUCCAACAGCGUCUUGGGAUGAUAUGGGGAUAAGAUCUUCCUUGCUUGCUUCUAGAACUGCGCUUUCUACACAUAGAGAGGAGCCUGAGGACGAGGCUUCUUCUGGUGAGCAACU